Rhinopithecus roxellana (golden snub-nosed monkey) is the source of this 570-nucleotide long non-coding RNA. RefSeq lists it as uncharacterized. The transcript is spliced from 3 exons. Lineage: Eukaryota; Metazoa; Chordata; Mammalia; Primates; Cercopithecidae. The record is from RefSeq and is a predicted model, not a curated record.
UUACAGAAACAUGGCAAAGCUAGUACAGAGAGUUUGCAUAUACCCCACACCCAGUUUAAUUUUGACAUCUUGCGUUAGUGUGGGUCUAUAUUUGUCCCAGUUAAUGAACCAGUAUUGAUACAUGAUUAUUUGCUAAAGUCCAUGCUUUCUUCAGAUUUCCUUAGUUUUUACAUAAUGCCGUUUCUGUUGGAGGAUCCCAUCUAGGUUACCCCAUCACGUCUCAUCAUCGUCAUGCCUCCUUAGGUGAGACAACUUCUCAGACAGAUGCUUCCUGUGUUUGACACCUUGACGGUUUUGAGGAGUGUCAGUCAGGGUGCUUACUGCCUGCGGGACUUACCACUCUCCAUUACCUGGCUGAGGUGUGCCAGAUUUUUCCACCAUGAGAUUCUUCUUCUUGCUCGUUUCCAUGCCGUAGUCCCAAGAAGGAAGUCACCACCUACAGCCCACACUUAGCCAGUGGGGAGUGACACUUCACCUCCAUGAGGGCUGAGCAGCUACGUUGAUGCUGCUGAUGUCAACAAAGAGAAAACAGAACUGUUCAGCUCAAAUUAUACUUUGUUCAUUAUCAAG